GUUCUCUUAUGAGGCCGGUCAUCGGAAUGGGUACAAUUUAAACCCUUUAACGAGUAUCUAUGAGAGGGCAAGUCUGGUGCCAGCAGCCGCGGUAAUUCCAGCUCUCAAAGUGCAUAGAAUUAUUGCUGCGGUUAAAAAGCUCGUAGUUGGAUCUGUGCCAUAGGACGUGGUCCACCUUCGGGUGCGUACUACGCUCCUAGGCUUUUUGCUGGUUUUCCCGUCGUAGCCUUCACUGGUUGCGGCGGGUGGCUGGCGAGUUUACUUUGAGAAAAUCAGAGUGCUCAAUACAGGCGUAUCGCUUGAAUGAUUGUGCAUGGAAUAAUAGAAAAGGAUUUCGGUCCUCUUUUAUUGGUUUUGUGGACUGAGAUAAUGGUUAACAGGGACAAACGGGGGCAUUCGUAUCUCUGCGUGAGAGGUGAAAUUCUUGGACCGUAGAGAGACGCCCUACUGCGAAAGCAUUUGCCAAGAAUGUCUUCAUUAAUCAAGAACGAAAGUCAGAGGUUCGAAGGCGAUCAGAUACCGCCCUAGUUCUGACCGUAAACGAUGCCAACUAGCGAUCCGCCGGUGGAUUUUUAGCCCUGGUGGGUAGCUUCCCGGAAACGAAAGUCUUCCGGUUCCGGGGGAAGUAUGGUUGCAAAGCUGAAACUUAAAGGAAUUGACGGAAGGGCACCACCAGGAGUGGAGCCUGCGGCUUAAUUUGACCCAACACGGGGAAACUCACCCGGCCCGGACACCGUAAGGAUUGACAGAUUGAUAGCUCUUUCAUGAUUCGGUGGUUGGUGGUGCAUGGCCGUUCUUAGUUCGUGGAUCGAUUUGUCUGGUUUAUUCCGAUAACGAGCGAGACUCUAGCCUACUAAAUAGUAACGAGAUUAUCAAUGUCUCAGUUGCUUCUUAGAGGGAUUUUCGGUGUUUAGCCGCACGAGAUUGAGCAAUAACAGGUCUGUGAUGCCCUUAGAUGUCCGGGGCUGCACGCGCGCUACACUGGCGAAAUCAGCGUGCUGUAUCCAUUCUCGAAAGGGAUUGGUAAACCCAUGAAAAUUUGCCGUGCUUGGGAUCGGAAAUUGCAAUUAUUUUCCGUGAACGAGGAAUUCCAAGUAAGUGCGAGUCAUCAACUCGCUCUGAUUACGUCCCUGCCCUUUGUACACACCGCCCGUCGCUGCCCGGGACUGAGCCAUUUCGAGAAGAUCAGGGACUGGUGGACUGUGGCCUUUUCGGAGGUCCGGUUCGCUGGAAACUGAUUUGAUCGCAGUGGCUUGAACCGGGCAAAAGUCGU
Molecule: ribosomal RNA, 1273 nt
Filed under: metagenome
Description: SSU rRNA
Rfam family: Eukaryotic small subunit ribosomal RNA
Source: RNAcentral